RNAcentral lists this small RNA (2508 nucleotides) under Pongo abelii (Sumatran orangutan). RNAcentral describes it as "retained intron". Lineage: Eukaryota; Metazoa; Chordata; Mammalia; Primates; Hominidae. The record is from RNAcentral.
CUUUUUGUUUGUUUUCUUAAACACAUUUUGGACAUUUGCUAUCAGGAAUAAUCCCGCUUAGUGGGAGGGCAGGAUGGGGUCCUGGCCCCUGACAUCCAGACAUGCUGCUGUGAGGGCAUGUCACAGCAUGUCUCUUUCUGUAAAAGUUGAUAUUUCUGAAUUUUUAAGCAAGGAAAACCGACGCAUGAGCAGCCGCCUGACCCCUCGUGUCUGUCUUUCCACCCAGAGGAGCUUACCCGCCUUGAGACAGCUGACCCCCGACUCCGCGGCCUUCAUCCAGCAGAGCCAGCAGCAGCCGCCACCGCCCGCCUCGCAGGCCACCACUGCGCUCACGGCCGUGGUGCUGAGUAGCUCGGUCCAGCGCACGGCCGGGAAGACGGCGGCCACCGUGACCAGUGCCCUCCAGCCCCCUGUGCUCAGCCUCACGCAGCCCACGCAGGUCGGCGUCAGCAAGCAGGGGCAACCCACACCGCUGGUAUGGAAGGGGUGCCUGACUGGUCUGCACAGCCCACCGUGCCUCUGCUCCCGCCAGCUUCUUAGAUAAAUUGGCCACGGCUCAGAAACUUUUUCCAAGCAUGCAGGAAGGCUCCUGCUAGAGGAAGCUUGGGUAUUACCUUAAAUAGUUAAAAUAGAAACCAGAGGUAGAGGCCCUGGGAUUUUGUAUUUUGUCUCAGUAAAAUGAAAUAGUUGAGUUGACUUUGAACCACUGGCACGUCCCCACCCUGCCUUGUCUAGGGAUGUUACUGGUGUAAAUGAAUGCAGCGUGUUUUUAGAGGAUCUUGUAGAUAGAUGUUCUCUUGGAUUAGGAGCAGCGGUUCAAGCGUGUAAGACACGGGCACCCACGUGGGACAGGUGGGCAGGAGACUGGAGGCAGGGUGUCAGCUCACAGCACAGGGUGGAUUUAGGUGAGUCCCGGGAGGCGAAGCUGUGGCUGCUCAUAGCGGUUCAUUUAUGUGCAGUUUGGAUCUGGCUUUCUUGGUUUUGUAGUCAUGAUGUUUGCUCUGCAGCUAGAGAAAGGAUGUCUUUGCCAGAAGAAUUACAUUUUGAGCACAUUCCCUUUCAUGGGCAGAGGGAUUCACCAAACGUAGAAGGGCAGUUUUAAAAAAAUUUCAGAGGGGUUUUCUUCUUCUAAAGACAGCUUAAACAACAAAACGGUGCGGGCUCCCUCAUCAUGAGCUGGUAUGUGUUCUGAUGGUGCACACAUGGGAACCAGCUGGGUGAGGAGUAUCCAUUAGGGGCUGGUUGUAUUUGUUCUGUCGGUUGUAUUUGUUCUGUCUUGAUAGUAGCGAGAACAGGGUGAAGUGGCAUGGAGGGAGGGAGGGUGCCCCUUAGAAAGGCAGGGAAGCAUGGCCACCGGGAAGGGCUGAGCUCCUGUGGAGAGAGAGGGCUUCCUUGCCUGCCUUUUGACUCCAGAGGGGAAGAGAUGUGCCGUGCCUCUUGCUUUAGUGUAGUGUAAGGACAGAACUUCCCUAUUCACUAGUCAGUGGAGCUAGUUUACCCAAAAGGUGGGUUCUGUUUAAGCAGGUACAGCCUGUGGGCGAUCAUUUUCUUUUCAAAUUUUGACCUCUGGUGCUUAGUCACACACGAGCAGCAUGGGUGUUUUUAGAAUUAGAUGUUGUGUUCGGCAGCAGGAUCACCUCUGCAUUCUGCUUCCCUGGGCUCCUCCUGACCAGGUGUGGAGUCUGCAGAGCACAGCCAGCGGGAUCCAGGGCAUCCAAUCCAUUGCCUGCACCCUGAAGCCUGUGGAGGCAGAACCCAGGCUUCUCCCUGAUUUGAUGACAGGCUCCCUGCACCGCAGGGCCUGGCCCUGGCAUUUGAUGGCAGGUUCCCUGCACCCCAGGGCCUGGCCUGAGCAUUUGACGGCAGGUGGCCUGAGCUGCCUGAGGCUCUUCCUGUCCGGUGUGGGUGUUCCUGUUUUGUUGAAGACAUGUUUGCAUUACAGGCCGCUUCCCCAGGUCCCCACACAUAUUCUGCAGCAUAGAGUUUACCUGCCAGGGCACCUUUGCAAAAUGGUAGCAACUAAAUUCUGAAACAUCUGGGCCCAGAGGUUUGAGGCCAGGCCUUAUGGACUUGAGCAUUGGCUUUUGACAAGGACACCAGUGUCUGUGGGCCCCAGCGUCCUGGGGACAGGGCCAGAGCACAGGCCAUGGUCAGUGCUGCCAGGUUUUGGAUCUCUGCCUUGUGCCGGAGGUGAGAGUGAGAGGCAGGAUGACAGCAGAGCUGGGCAGACCCUGCCAUGAGGGGCCCAGCAGGGGCUGGGCGGACAGAGCUGGCCAUGCUGGGGGCAGUGGGUGGAGGCCCUUGAGGGCCAAGUUCAGGCAGGACUUAGGAACUCUAACCCCCCUCCAGUAGAAAAGCCCUCAGCCUUCUUAUAGAAAAUUCAGAAAGGGAGCUGGGUUUGGUAGCUCAUGACUGUAAUUCAGCACUUUGGGAGGUCAAAGUGGGAGGUUCGCUUGAGCCUAGGAGUUCAAGACCAACCGGGCCAACAUGGUGAAACCCCAUCUCUAC